AGUGAACGCUGGCGGUAUGCCUAACACAUGCAAGUCGAACGGACGCACAGUAAGAGCUCGCCUCUACUGUUGGCGACUGGCGGACGAGUAAGGAAUACAUAGCCUUCCUCUUUUUCUUGGGGGACAUCGUAGGGCAACAUACACUACCACAGAAUACGUUCUACGGCUUAAAGCAGAGGUGCUUCGCGCUUUGCCCGUCUCAUUGAGAUGGUGCCGCAUUAGCUAGUUGGCGAGGUAAGGGCACACCAAGGCAACGAUGCGUAGCUGGCCUGAGAGGAUGAUCAGCCACACUGGAACUGAGACACGGUCCAGACUCCUACGGGAGGCAGCAGUGGGGAAUAUUGGACAAUGGGCGCAAGCCUGAUCCAGCCAUGCCGCGUGAGUGAUGAAGGCCUUCGGAUUGUAAAGCCCUUUUGUUAGGAAAGAAAAGCAGCGUAUGAAUAUCCCGCUGUUUUGACGGUACCCAAAGAGUAAGCACCGGCUAACUUCGUG
This 492-nucleotide ribosomal RNA is filed under the name uncultured bacterium. RNAcentral's name for it is "partial 16S ribosomal RNA". It matches the Rfam family "Bacterial small subunit ribosomal RNA", at positions 29 to 507 of the family's 1533-position model. The record is from RNAcentral.